CCUACGGGAGGCAGCAGUGAGGAAUAUUGGUCAAUGGGCUUACGCCUGAACCAGCCAAGUCGCGUGAGGGAAGACUGCCCUAUGGGUUGUAAACCUCUUUUGUCAGGGAGCAAUUGGCGCUACGUGUAGCGUUAUCGAGAGUACCUGAAGAAAAAGCAUCGGCUAACUCCGUGCCAGCAGCCGCGGUAAUCCGGGGGAUGCGAGCGUUAUCCGGAUUUAUUGGGUUUAAAGGGUGCGUAGGCGGAAUGCCAAGUCAGCGGUAAAAUCGCGGGGCUCAACCUCGCUCCGCCGUUGAAACUGGCGGUCUUGAGUGGGCGAGAAGUAUGCGGAAUGCGUGGUGUAGCGGUGAAAUGCAUAGAGAUCACGCAGAACUCCGAUUGCGAAGGCAGCAUACCGGCGCACAACUGACGCUGAAGCACGAAAGCGUGGGUAUCGAACAGGAUUAGAUACCCGAGUAGUC
Molecule: ribosomal RNA, 460 nt
Filed under: uncultured bacterium
Lineage: Bacteria
Description: partial 16S ribosomal RNA
Rfam family: Bacterial small subunit ribosomal RNA
Source: RNAcentral